GCACGUGAGAAGACAGCCCGUGCUACUGAGUACCCUGAUGGCCAAGGAGCAGAGAUGAUGACACACUGUAGCACAAUGACUGGAACAAGACAUUGUGCCCUGAUGUGACUACUGGUUAGUUGUGACUACCAGUGAGACGCUACUCCAUAUCAGGUUGUGUGACAAGCGCGUGAAGAGGAGCAAAGGACUACAACACUAUUCCAGACAUUUUCAUUCAGAAAGACUAAAUGCACGACAAGCCAUCAUGCUUCUGAUGAUUGGAAUUUUCUCUUGGGUCAAGAUUAAUGCAGCAGUUAUAAUCCUCUAUAUUCUAUUUUUCUACACAUGGUUGUAUUUAUAUCAGUGACUCACAUUUUUAAGGAUGGCUUAAGUUAUCUAAAUUAAGAUUUCAGUAUGACAUCUCCUUUUUGCAGUAUAUCUGAAAGAAAAUUGAAUGUGUUGCAACAGAUUUGCUUUUGGACUGGUACAGUUUAGGCCUAGAUUCAACCAGAUUAAAUGUUAAACAGUGAUAGAUGAUACCUUGCACAGCUGAUGUUUUGGUGGUGUCAGAGGUGUCAUUGAAAUGGAGCUGUCAAAUCGGUGAGCUGCUGCUCUUGUAAUCUUUGUCAUGAAGCUACACCCGUUCCACUCGCUUUAGAGUUCAACAUGAAAAAGUGUAGACUAUAGAAAUAAUCACUCAAAUUUCAAAAUCAUUCAACAAAAUGAGGAUUUCUAUCAGCCUCAUCGAGGUGUAGAUUACACCUCACAUCCCAGUGUUUGAAGUUGUGAACAAGGCUGCAUGGGAUUUCUCAUAAUGACUGUAGCCAAUGGCAAUGUCCGCUUUAGGUAUAAUGGCGGGAGCUGCUUGUGGAUUUGACAGCUCUAGCGCAGUUCCACCUCCGACACUUCUGAUAGAAUCUAGCCCUUAGUCUUGAUAUUUGUGGAUAAUAAAUAACUGAAGUGGAAUGCCUUUUGAAUGAUAUUUUGCCUUUUGCUUAUGAAACAAUAUGGUUUGGAUAUUUGCAUAGUUGUUGACAAUGUUUUUAAAGGUUGAGUUGCAUACCCUUUUCAAAGCAUUUUCCAGCAGUUAUACAUUAUAAAAUGUAGGCAACAAUCUUCUAAAAUGUUAUGACUACUGACUAGUCAAGUUUGAUUUGAUAGGCCUAC
RNA transcript from Oncorhynchus nerka (sockeye salmon), 1146 nucleotides. RefSeq lists it as uncharacterized. Lineage: Eukaryota; Metazoa; Chordata; Actinopteri; Salmoniformes; Salmonidae. The record is from RefSeq and is a predicted model, not a curated record. The transcript is spliced from 3 exons.